This 65-nucleotide transfer RNA is filed under the name Pallenopsis patagonica. Its description in RNAcentral is "tRNA-Asn". Lineage: Eukaryota; Metazoa; Arthropoda; Pycnogonida; Pantopoda; Pallenopsidae. The record is from RNAcentral.
UUAACAAAAGCUUAUAAAAAGCAGCUUAUUGUUACUAAGAAGACAGAAACAAUUUUCUUGUUAAG